This 517-nucleotide ribosomal RNA is filed under the name uncultured bacterium. RNAcentral describes it as "bacterial SSU rRNA". It matches the Rfam family "Bacterial small subunit ribosomal RNA", at positions 32 to 518 of the family's 1533-position model. The record is from RNAcentral.
GACGACGCUGGCGGCGUGCCUAAUACAUGCAAGUCGAACGGUCUUUCUAUGGAAGCUUGCUUCCACUGAGAAGAUAGUGGCGAACGGGUGAGUAACACGUGGGUAACCUGCCCAUAAGAGGGGGGAUAACAUCCGGAAACGGGUGCUAAUACCGCAUAGUUUUCUUGAUCGCAUGAUUGAGAAAGGAAAGACGGCCUUUGUGCUGUCGCUUAUGGAUGGACCCGCGGCGUAUUAGUUAGUUGGUGAGGUAACGGCUCACCAAGACGAUGAUACGUAGCCGACCUGAGAGGGUGAUCGGCCACAUUGGGACUGAGACACGGCCCAAACUCCUACGGGAGGCAGCAGUAGGGAAUCUUCCGCAAUGGACGAAAGUCUGACGGAGCAACGCCGCGUGAGUGAAAGAAGGUUUUCGGAUCGUAAAACUCUGUUGUCAGAGAAGAACAAGUUGGAGAGUAACUGCUCCAGCCUUGACGGUAUCUGACCAGAAAGCCACGGCUAACUACGUGCCAGCCGCCGC